This 433-nucleotide ribosomal RNA is filed under the name uncultured bacterium. RNAcentral describes it as "partial 16S ribosomal RNA". It matches the Rfam family "Bacterial small subunit ribosomal RNA", at positions 29 to 507 of the family's 1533-position model. The record is from RNAcentral.
AGCGAACGCUGGCGGCAGGCCUAACACAUGCAAGUCGAACGAACUCUUCGGAGUUAGUGGCGGACGGGUGAGUAACACGUGGGAACGUGCCUUUAGGUUCGGAAUAACUCAGGGAAACUUGUGCUAAUACCGAAUGUGCCCUUCGGGGGAAAGAUUUAUCGCCUUUAGAGCGGCCCGCGUCUGAUUAGCUAGUUGGUGAGGUAAAGGCUCACCAAGGCGACGAUCAGUAGCUGGUCUGAGAGGAUGAUCAGCCACAUUGGGACUGAGACACGGCCCAAACUCCUACGGGAGGCAGCAGUGGGGAAUCUUGCGCAAUGGGCAAAAGCCUGACGCAGCCAUGCCGCGUGAAUGAUGAAGGUCUUAGGAUUGUAAAAUUCUUUCACCGGGGACGAUAAUGACGGUACCCGGAGAAGAAGCCCCGGCUAACUUCGUG